AGCGCCAACACGCCCUCAGGUAAAGGUGGAAGUAAAUGGCCACGCUGUAUUGACAGAGUCAGAGGCAGGGAGUCGAGGGCAGAGGCAGCAGGCGGAGAGAGGGAGAUAGGGCGAGGGAAGGAGAACGCGGAGAGAGACGAAGGGAGUGGGAGACCAGCGACAGCGAGCGCCAGGGCACCGCAGGCACACUGGAUGCCCAGUCCGCCGGCCCAGCCGCCCUCGGACCCUGGACCGUGCGUCGUGGGCACCAGAAACGAGACUCGGCCAAAUCCUGCCUCACCAGCAGGUAGAUGAAACUCAAGAGAAAAGGUGUGGAUAAAUGAAACUAGCCCAUGAUGAACCUGUUUUCUCCGUGACCACAAUAUUAACCAGGAUGAAUGGCGGUGGCAGUGGGCCUGCAUCACAGGUUGCAGCAGAUGUUCUCAAUAUUUCUAUUAAAAUUUCCUUAUUUCCAUAUGCAAGAGGAGCCCCAGAGCUGCAUCCUUAUGGUAGCUACCAUGCCGUGAUGUAAGCUGCCAUUCACUGGGGAGCUUUGGCAAUAGAAUUGGCUAGAUCAGGAAGCCUAUGUCAACUAUGGAACAACAACUUGCAGCUCAUCUCUAUUGAUGAUGGAAUCUCGCUAUGUCACCAGGCUGGAGUGCAGUGGCGCAACCUCGGCUCAGCGCAACAUCCGCCUCCCGGGUUCAAGUGAUUCUCCUACCUCAGCCUCCUGAGUAGCUGGGAUUACAGGUGAAACAGUCGCAAAUGGAAUUCCAAGAAACAUUCUAUCAUCAGGUAUUAUCUACUGCUGUCUGCAGAAUUCAGACAUGGAGGGCUCAAUGGUGUCCCCUGGUCUUUGGAACAUUCUGUAUUUUAAUGAUCAUGAUACACUGCCUCUAGGACUGGGACAGAUAGCCACUGAGUACCUGCUUCAAAUCACCCUGCACGUUUUCUCUUUGGAAAGAUAAGCACUGGAGAACCAUCUCGUUACCUUCAGCAGAAAUGGAAACAAAUCAAGACAUUAAGAAUGCCGCAGUGGACAGCAGUUAUGCAAGGUUCAGCAGAGGAAGUUUUCAAGAUGGUGUGCCUCACUAGCCAGAAAUCAGAAAAGAUCGAAGCUAGCCUUUUCAUCUCAGCUGCUCCUUAAAUCAGUGCAACCCCUCCAAAUUAAUGUGAAUUGAAACUUGCAUUGCUUUUCAACUUAAUUGAAUACUUACUAUAUGUGAACCACUGCACAAAAUAGGGGAAGAAGAUGUGGGAGACAAAGAUGUGGAGCCUGUCUUCAAUAAAUUUACAGUUAGUUUCAGGGUACAUUGUUUUUCUUCUGCUGUUAAUUAGGUGUAUCCCCAAGACAAUAAAUACAUGAAUGGAAAAGUAUAUUCUGUGUUUUAAGUCUCUUUAAUAAAAAACAAAACAAAAUCCAAAAAAACUCCUAACAUGGCAACUCAGGACAUUUUAAUCCUUUUUUUUGUUGUUGGGCUUCUGAUAGGAUCCAUUUUAUUGAUUCCAUAAAUAUUUAGUAGACUUUAGACAUAUUAAUACAUUGUAGUUUGAGUUAAUUUGCAUUAAAUUCUGUUUUUUUCCCCUUAGGUAUAGAUUGUCUGUUGGAAAAAUAUAUUGCUUGUGGAUUUCUUGGGGAGUGGGAAGGUGAAUUAUACCUGUUGUCUCUACAGUCCACUACCUUCCACACCCUAGGGCAGUGGUCCCCAACCUUCUUGGCACCAGGGAUCAGUUUCCUGGAAGACAAUUUUUCUGUGGAUGGUGUGGGGAUGGUUUUGGGAUGGAACUGUUCCACCUCAGAUCAUCAGGCAUUAGUUAGGCUCUCAUAACGAGUGCGCAGCCUAGAUCCCUCACAUGCACAGUUCACAGUAGGGUUUGCGCUGCUAUGAGAAUCUAAGGCUGCCACUGAUCUGACAGGAGGCAGAACUCAGGUGGCAAUGCUUACUGGCCCACUGCUCACCUCUUGCUGUGCGGCCUGGUUCCUAAUAGGCCAUGGACCCCCACAGACGGGUACUAGUCUGCAGCCUGUGGACCCCAGCCCUAGGGGCCUGCCAUUCUGAGUGAGUUAUUAGCAUGAAGAAGAGGAAGAUCUGGAUCAAACGUGGGUGAUGGUACUCAGAGACCCAAGAUAGGAUAGGGAUGGAACAAAAUCCAUCUGGGCAACGGCUCUAUGAAAAUUUGGCUAAGUAAUUAUUUCAGUAUUCAUUGUAUUCAUUGUCCUUCGUGUUCCAUAAGUUAAAUGACUGUCUAAUUUUUCCAAAAAUUUAUUUCUGACUUGAGAAUAAGUGUGUCAUGAUUUUCCCAGUGUAAAGACACUGAUAUAACUGUAGAUACCAGACAUUUUAUGUAGUGUCUAUGACACAUUUUAGUAUGUAUGAGCCAACAAUAGACAUGUCUUUGUCUUGAGGAGUGUCCAUCUGAAUUGAAAAUGUGUCAGCUUUUUUUUAACAUCAUCAACAGACUUCUUAAUUAAGCUGCCAAUACAUACUGCCAAUAGCACU
This is a long non-coding RNA of Homo sapiens (human), 2480 nucleotides long. Ensembl annotates it as NR2F1 antisense RNA 1. Its record names the gene NR2F1-AS1. The record is from Ensembl. Lineage: Eukaryota; Metazoa; Chordata; Mammalia; Primates; Hominidae.